AUACGUAGGGAGCGAGCGUUGUCCGGAAUUACUGGGCGUAAAGGGUGCGUAGGCGGCAUGGCAAGUCAGAUGUGAAAUUCCCGGGCUUAACUCGGGGGGUGCAUUUGAAACUGCUGUGCUUGAGUGCAGGAGAGGAAAGCGGAAUUCCUAGUGUAGCGGUGGAAUGCGUAGAUAUUAGGAGGAACACCAGUGGCGAAGGCGGCUUUCUGGACUGUAACUGACGCUGAGGCACGAAAGCGUGGGGAGCAAACAGGAUUAGAUACCCUGGUAGUCCACGCUGUAAACGAUGGAUACUAGGUGUGGGAGAUAUACAACUUCCGUGCCGGAGCAAACGCAAUAAGUAUCCCGCCUGGGGAGUACGGUCGCAAGGCUGAA
This 375-nucleotide ribosomal RNA is filed under the name uncultured bacterium. Its description in RNAcentral is "bacterial SSU rRNA". It matches the Rfam family "Bacterial small subunit ribosomal RNA", at positions 523 to 898 of the family's 1533-position model. The record is from RNAcentral.